AUUAAGCUGACGAGUCCCAAAAAGGACGAAACGCGCAUCCUUGAU
Molecule: non-coding RNA, 45 nt
Filed under: Schistosoma bovis
Lineage: Eukaryota; Metazoa; Platyhelminthes; Trematoda; Strigeidida; Schistosomatidae
Also listed under: 1 other name
Source: RNAcentral